This is a long non-coding RNA of Panicum virgatum (switchgrass), 1177 nucleotides long. RefSeq lists it as uncharacterized. The record is from RefSeq and is a predicted model, not a curated record. The transcript is spliced from 6 exons. Lineage: Eukaryota; Viridiplantae; Streptophyta; Magnoliopsida; Poales; Poaceae.
UCCACCCCGGGUCGGCGGCCGAGACGCCGAGUGCGGCACUUCCGCCGCAAGUCUGUUCGCAUCCCGGCGCGUUCGCCUCCAAUCCCCCCGGCGAGUUAGCAGCUGCGCUGCUCGCCGGCGCUGCCGAACGCCUCUGCGCCGCUGCUCGCAAGGACGCUCCCAAACUCCCCAGCGAGUUGGCAGCUGCGCUCCUCGCCGCUGCCGCAGUGCGCCCACAAACUCGCGCAGCGGCUUCGCAACUGCGCUCCCCCGUCCUCCUCGCCGCCGUGCUACCUCUCCUCACCACAGGCAAUCCAGAUUUCCUCCCAUAAUUCCUUGAUGUCGCCGCCGGCGUGUCACCGCUGCUCACCAGGGGCACCCGCCGUGUCUUGCGCUGCGGCAUCGCGGCCUGCACCGCUGGAAUGGCUGCAAUUGGAACGAGACCCGUCUGAGGUACCCGAGUUAAAAUGCUUGUGCGGCAUUCCGGCUUGCUGCCGAACAGCACGCAACGAACGGAACCACAUGAGAAGAUUUCUUCAUUGCGAUGUGGCUCUACUGGAUCAAGCCAUCAGUGACCCACGAGCCCUUCCAGCCCCGCCCCGCCUACAUCUGCCUCGUCGGGGAGUUCAACCGCUGCACCGCCGCUGCCACACCCACGCAGCUGCGCUGGAGGCCGCUCGAGGUUCCCCUGGACUCGCCCCUCGACGUCAUCGACGGCCUCUACACCGUCAAUGGCGCCGGGAGCUCCUUCCUCCGACAUGGAAAAGGAAGAUGUUUCUAGAUUUGGCUCCACUGAUGUGGCACUAUUUUGACACAAUGAUUGUGCUGCUGUAGACUGCUAGUGCAAAAGGAGGCCAGGGCAUGACAUCUUUUUGACUACAUAAUGGAUGGAUGGUAUUAGGCUGUUUGAAUACCUACAGCCUGACAAAAUGGAUGGAUGGUUUUAGGCUGAUUGUAUCAAUUUGUGCAAUGCAGGUGAUUGUUGAGAAGGCUGAGAGAAGUGAUAUUCCUGACAUCGACAAGAAAAAGUCAGUUCUCAACUUCUCUACUAGAUAUCUGAAAAUUAUUUCUACUUAGGCUGAGAGAAGGCUGAGAGGUGAUUGUAUGAACUCUUUUGUUUAAUAUGGACUCUUUUGUUUAAUCUUGAUGCAUGAGCUCAUAUGGUUGAAUUCUGCUGCUAUAAUUAUAUAUUAUAUAU